UGGCGACGGACGUGCCUGCGC
Molecule: unclassified non-coding RNA, 21 nt
Filed under: Chlamydomonas reinhardtii
Lineage: Eukaryota; Viridiplantae; Chlorophyta; Chlorophyceae; Chlamydomonadales; Chlamydomonadaceae
Description: small RNA Cre_3305
Source: RNAcentral